ACGUAGGGGGCAAGCGUUAUCCGGAUUUACUGGGUGUAAAGGGAGCGUAGACGGCACGGCAAGCCAGAUGUGAAAGCCCGGGGCUCAACCCCGGGACUGCAUUUGAAACUGCUGAGCUAGAGUGUCGGAGAGGCAAGUGGAAUUCCUAGUGUAGCGGUGAAAUGCGUAGAUAUUAGGAGGAACACCAGUGGCGAAGGCGGCUUGCUGGACGAUGACUGACGUUGAGGCUCGAAAGCGUGGGGAGCAAACAG
This 251-nucleotide ribosomal RNA is filed under the name uncultured bacterium. RNAcentral describes it as "partial 16S ribosomal RNA". It matches the Rfam family "Bacterial small subunit ribosomal RNA", at positions 525 to 775 of the family's 1533-position model. The record is from RNAcentral.